Molecule: long non-coding RNA, 501 nt
Organism: Homo sapiens (human)
Lineage: Eukaryota; Metazoa; Chordata; Mammalia; Primates; Hominidae
Source: Ensembl
GUGGUGGCUCACACCUGUAAUCCCAGUACUUUGGGAGGUCGAGGCGGGCGGAUCACCUGAAGUCAGGAGUUCGAGACCAGCCUGACCAACAUGGAGAAACCCCGUCUUUACUAAAAAUAAAAAAUGAGCUGGGUGUGGUGGCACGUGUCUGUAAUCCCAGCUACUCAGGAGGCUGAGGAAGGAAAAUUGCUUGAACCCGGGAGGCGGAGGUUGCGGCUCAUGAGCCAAGAUCGUGCUGUUGCACUCCAGCCUGGGCAAGAGCGAAACUCUGUCUCAAAAAAAUAAAUAAAUAAAAAGAAGAACAAUAUAUAUUUUUAACCUGUUUAGAGGAACAUUUCAGAAAUGAGAGGAUUUAUAGCCAGUAAUAAGAACAAAAGACUUUAAAUUGUGUCUGUAUGUUUUUCAGUAGCAUUUUUUAUUUACCACAUAGGCCUGUAGCAGUUUGUGGUGCCGGAGAACAAAUGUUAACUGUGCACUUUGUAUGUCCUUUGGAGGGAUGCA